AUCGGUUUGUAGUACAGACCUAUUUAUGUAAGCCAUUUAAGUAAAGCAGUUCCUAGUUAAAGCGAUAUUUUUAGACAUCACUUCUCCGACGAAUUUCCUUCUUUAGUGCCCCCAUAAGUAACUCUUGAUAAACAGACCUCAAUAGCCAAAUAUUGGCCCUAAUAAUGAAGGAAAUAUCUUAUGUCUACUAAAAUGACUGGUUUAGUAAAAUGGUUUGAUGCAGGUAAAGGUUUUGGUUUUAUUUCUCCUGCUGACGGUAGCAAAGAUGUAUUCGUACAUUUCUCUGCAAUCCAAGGCACAGAGUACAAAACUCUUGAUGAAGGCCAGAACGUAGAGUUCAGCAUCGAGCAAGGCCAGAAAGGCCCUUCAGCUGUAAACGUAGUCGCUCUGUAAUUUAUACAGCGGCAAUAAACGUUUAGUUGUCAUUAAACCUCGCCAUGGCGAGGUUUUUUGU
Non-coding RNA from Yersinia mollaretii ATCC 43969, 454 nucleotides. The record is from Rfam. NCBI's taxonomy places the organism in Bacteria, Pseudomonadati, Pseudomonadota, Gammaproteobacteria, Enterobacterales, Yersiniaceae.